RNAcentral lists this ribosomal RNA (206 nucleotides) under uncultured bacterium. Its description in RNAcentral is "partial 16S ribosomal RNA". It matches the Rfam family "Bacterial small subunit ribosomal RNA", at positions 568 to 774 of the family's 1533-position model. The record is from RNAcentral.
CGCGUAGGCGGCUUGCCAAGCGUGUGGUGAAAGCCCGGAGCUCAACUCCGGGUCGGCCAUGCGAACUGGCAGGCUAGAGCACGGUAGAGGCCAAUGGAAUUCCGGGUGUAGCGGUGGAAUGCGUAGAGAUCCGGAAGAACACCGGUGGCGAAGGCGGUUGGCUGGGCCGUUGCUGACACUGAGGCGCGACAGCGUGGGAGCAAACA